UUUGAUCCUGGCUCAGGAUGAACGCUGGCGGCGUGCCUAAUACAUGCAAGUCGAACGCGCUGUGGCAAUUAUUGAGAAGCUUGCUUCAAUUUAAUUGCAAUGCAGCGAGUGGCGAACGGGUGAGUAACACGUGGGAAACCUACCUCUUAGCAGGGGAUAACAUUUGGAAACAGAUGCUAAUACCGUAUAAUAACUUUUACCGCAUGGUGAAAGUUUGAAAGAUGGUUCUGCUAUCACUAAGAGAUGGUCCCGCGGUGUAUUAGCUAGAUGGUGAGGUAAUGGCUCACCAUGGCGAUGAUACAUAGCCGAGUUGAGAGACUGAUCGGCCACAUUGGAACUGAGACACGGUCCAAACUCCUACGGGAGGCAGCAGUAGGGAAUCUUCCACAAUGGACGAAAAUCUGAUGGAGCAACGCCGCGUGUGUGAUGAAGGGUUUCGGCUCGUAAAGCACUGUUAUAAGAGAAGAACGUCAGUGAGAGUAACUAUUCAUUGAGUGACGGUAUCUUAUCAGAAAGGGACGGCUAAAUACGUGCCAGCAGCCGCGGUAAUACGUAUGUCCCAAGCGUUAUCCGGAUUUAUUGGGCGUAAAGCGAGCGCAGGCGGUUAUUUAAGUCUGAUGUGAAAGCCUACGG
Molecule: ribosomal RNA, 633 nt
Filed under: uncultured bacterium
Lineage: Bacteria
Description: bacterial SSU rRNA
Rfam family: Bacterial small subunit ribosomal RNA
Source: RNAcentral